RNAcentral lists this ribosomal RNA (504 nucleotides) under uncultured bacterium. RNAcentral's name for it is "partial 16S ribosomal RNA". It matches the Rfam family "Bacterial small subunit ribosomal RNA", at positions 29 to 507 of the family's 1533-position model. The record is from RNAcentral.
ACGAACGCUGGCGGCGUGCCUAAUCCCUGCAAGUAGAACGCACAGUUUAUACCGUAGCUUGCUACACCAUAGACUGUGAGUUGCGAACGGGUGAGUAACGCGUAGGUAACCUGCCUGGUAGCGGGGGAUAACUAUUGGAAACGAUAGCUAAUACCGCAUAAUAUUAAUUAUUGCAUGAUAAUUAAUUGAAAGGUGCAAUUGCACCACUACCAGAUGGACCUGCGUUGUAUUAGCUAGUAGGUGAGGUAACGGCUCACCUAGGCGACGAUACAUAGCCGACCUGAGAGGGUGAUCGGCCACACUGGGACUGAGACACGGCCCAGACUCCUACGGGAGGCAGCAGUAGGGAAUCUUCGGCAAUGGACGAAAGUCUGACCGAGCAACGCCGCGUGAGUGAAGAAGGUUUUCGGAUCGUAAAGCUCUGUUGUAAGAGAAGAACGGGUGUGAGAGUGGAAAGUUCACACUGUGACGGUAGCUUACCAGAAAGGGACGGCUAACUACGUG